GACGAACCGUGCAAACGUUGUUCGGAAUCACUGGGCUUAAAGGGCGCGUAGGCGGGCGGCCAAGUCCGGGGUGAAAGCCCCCAGCUUAACUGGGGAAUUGCCUUGGAUACUGGUCAUCUCGAGGGAGGUAGGGGCAUGCGGAACUUCCGGUGGAGCGGUGAAAUGCGUUGAUAUCGGAAGGAACUCCGGUGGCGAAAGCGGCGUGCUGGACCUCUUCUGACGCUGAGGCGCGAAAGCCAGGGGAGCAAACGGG
RNAcentral lists this ribosomal RNA (253 nucleotides) under uncultured bacterium. RNAcentral's name for it is "partial 16S ribosomal RNA". It matches the Rfam family "Bacterial small subunit ribosomal RNA", at positions 524 to 776 of the family's 1533-position model. The record is from RNAcentral.